RNAcentral lists this ribosomal RNA (465 nucleotides) under Vreelandella stevensii. RNAcentral describes it as "partial 16S ribosomal RNA". It matches the Rfam family "Bacterial small subunit ribosomal RNA", at positions 338 to 795 of the family's 1533-position model. Lineage: Bacteria; Pseudomonadati; Pseudomonadota; Gammaproteobacteria; Oceanospirillales; Halomonadaceae. The record is from RNAcentral.
CCUACGGGCGGCAGCAGUGGGGAAUAUUGGACAAUGGGGGCAACCCUGAUCCAGCCAUGCCGCGUGUGUGAAGAAGGCCCUCGGGUUGUAAAGCACUUUCAGUGAGGAAGAACGCCUGGUGGUUAAUACCCAUCAGGAAAGACAUCACUCACAGAAGAAGCACCGGCUAACUCCGUGCCAGCAGCCGCGGUAAUACGGAGGGUGCGAGCGUUAAUCGGAAUUACUGGGCGUAAAGCGCGCGUAGGUGGCUUGAUAAGCCGGUUGUGAAAGCCCCGGGCUCAACCUGGGAACGGCAUCCGGAACUGUCAAGCUAGAGUGCAGGAGAGGAAGGUAGAAUUCCCGGUGUAGAGGUGAAAUGCGUAGAGAUCGGGAGGAAUACCAGUGGCGAAGGCGGCCUUCUGGACUGACACUGACACUGAGGUGCGAAAGCGUGGGUAGCAAACAGGAUUAGAUACCCCAGUAGUC